This 762-nucleotide long non-coding RNA is filed under the name Struthio camelus australis. Its description in RNAcentral is "lncRNA (ENSSCUG00000016490.1)". Lineage: Eukaryota; Metazoa; Chordata; Aves; Struthioniformes; Struthionidae. The record is from RNAcentral.
UUAAAACCUUGAAAUCCAUUGCCCAGACAGCUGUUUUAGCUAAUGUAAAUUCAUAGACAAAUGUAAAUUCCUCAUGGGAGGCUUGGCGCAGCCUUGACAGGAGUAACCAGAUAAUCAGAUUGCAAAUCCACUGCGUGUAGAGAGCACUCUCAGCACAAGAGUCUCUUCACACCAAGCCGUUUGUUUGCUAUUUCAAGAUAAUGAAGCCCUAACAAGUAAUACUAGUAGAGGAUCUACCCCAUGCUUGAGAGAAAGGUUUAUGACUUGAUAACCAGUGGUUUUCUUUUGAGGAGAAGAUUGAUCAGCCUACUUCUGAAGUGGAUUUAGCAGACUAUCCUGGUAAUGGCCUGCCAAAACAAAAGUGACAACCACGGAGUCCGAGAAUGCAAGAACAUGUCUUCUACUGCCAAGGACCAGCUGACACCCACGGAGUCGCAAAAUGGGAACGGCUGUGUGCACCAAAAGGGAGGAAGUAUAUAAAAAGAUUUUUGUUUUCAGUCACUCUGUGACCUAAGUAACGUCCUAGUUUAAACAUUAAACUCAAGGUCAUUAACUUGUCACAGUGAUUUCUGAUUUCAAACUUUAUAGCAAAAUAAGAGUUAAGAAGGCAUGAAAAGGCUCAUUAAUUGAUAUGAUAAAGCUUGCUGAAAUGUAACCCUUUAUAUACUUCAUAUAUAUGUAGAGACAAUGAUUUUAAAGUUACAAAACUUCAAAAAUAUAUGCAUUGUUUAAGUCAGUACGUGUUUCACAUGUCAUACAUUA